This 591-nucleotide ribosomal RNA is filed under the name Cortinarius aavae. RNAcentral describes it as "eukaryotic LSU rRNA". The stretch from base 208 to 361 matches the Rfam family "5.8S ribosomal RNA". The record is from RNAcentral. Lineage: Eukaryota; Fungi; Basidiomycota; Agaricomycetes; Agaricales; Cortinariaceae.
AAGUCGUAACAAGGUUUCCGUAGGUGAACCUGCGGAAGGAUCAUUAUUGAAAUAAACCUGAUGGGUUGUUGCUGGUUCUCUAGGGAGCAUGUGCACGCCUUGUCAUCUUUAUAUCUCCACCUGUGCACUUUUGUAGACUUUCCAAGUCUAUGUUGCUUCAUUUACCCCAAUGUAUGUUAAUAGAAUGUUGUCUUUUAUAAUAUAUACAACUUUCAGCAACGGAUCUCUUGGCUCUCGCAUCGAUGAAGAACGCAGCGAAAUGCGAUAAGUAAUGUGAAUUGCAGAAUUCAGUGAAUCAUCGAAUCUUUGAACGCACCUUGCGCUCCUUGGUAUUCCGAGGAGCAUGCCUGUUUGAGUGUCAUUAAUAUAUAUAUCAAACUUCUCUUGUUGAGUGGUUUGGAUGUGGGGGUUUGCUGGACUCUUAAAAGGGUUCAGCUCCUCUGAAAUGCAUUAGCAGAACAACCUUGUUCAUUGGUGUGAUAACUAUCUACGCUAUUGAAUGUAAGGGGCAGUUCAGCUUUCUAACAGUCUUUGGACAACUUAUCAUUAAUGUGACCUCAAAUCAGGUAGGACUACCCGCUGAACUUAAGC